RNAcentral lists this ribosomal RNA (1333 nucleotides) under Lactiplantibacillus plantarum. RNAcentral's name for it is "bacterial SSU rRNA". It matches the Rfam family "Bacterial small subunit ribosomal RNA", at positions 57 to 1405 of the family's 1533-position model. The record is from RNAcentral. Lineage: Bacteria; Bacillati; Bacillota; Bacilli; Lactobacillales; Lactobacillaceae.
ACAAGUCGAACGAACUCUGGUAUUGAUUGGUGCUUGCAUCAUGAUUUACAUUUGAGUGAGUGGCGAACUGGUGAGUAACACGUGGGAAACCUGCCCAGAAGCGGGGGAUAACACCUGGAAACAGAUGCUAAUACCGCAUAACAACUUGGACCGCAUGGUCCGAGCUUGAAAGAUGGCUUCGGCUAUCACUUUUGGAUGGUCCCGCGGCGUAUUAGCUAGAUGGUGGGGUAACGGCUCACCAUGGCAAUGAUACGUAGCCGACCUGAGAGGGUAAUCGGCCACAUUGGGACUGAGACACGGCCCAAACUCCUACGGGAGGCAGCAGUAGGGAAUCUUCCACAAUGGACGAAAGUCUGAUGGAGCAACGCCGCGUGAGUGAAGAAGGGUUUCGGCUCGUAAAACUCUGUUGUUAAAGAAGAACAUAUCUGAGAGUAACUGUUCAGGUAUUGACGGUAUUUAACCAGAAAGCCACGGCUAACUACGUGCCAGCAGCCGCGGUAAUACGUAGGUGGCAAGCGUUGUCCGGAUUUAUUGGGCGUAAAGCGAGCGCAGGCGGUUUUUUAAGUCUGAUGUGAAAGCCUUCGGCUCAACCGAAGAAGUGCAUCGGAAACUGGGAAACUUGAGUGCAGAAGAGGACAGUGGAACUCCAUGUGUAGCGGUGAAAUGCGUAGAUAUAUGGAAGAACACCAGUGGCGAAGGCGGCUGUCUGGUCUGUAACUGACGCUGAGGCUCGAAAGUAUGGGUAGCAAACAGGAUUAGAUACCCUGGUAGUCCAUACCGUAAACGAUGAAUGCUAAGUGUUGGAGGGUUUCCGCCCUUCAGUGCUGCAGCUAACGCAUUAAGCAUUCCGCCUGGGGAGUACGGCCGCAAGGCUGAAACUCAAAGGAAUUGACGGGGGCCCGCACAAGCGGUGGAGCAUGUGGUUUAAUUCGAAGCUACGCGAAGAACCUUACCAGGUCUUGACAUACUAUGCAAAUCUAAGAGAUUAGACGUUCCCUUCGGGGACAUGGAUACAGGUGGUGCAUGGUUGUCGUCAGCUCGUGUCGUGAGAUGUUGGGUUAAGUCCCGCACCGAGCGCACCCUUAUAUCAGUUGCCGCAUUAAGUUGGGCAUCUGGUGAAAUGCCGUGACAACCGAAGAAGGUGGGAUGACGUCAAUCACAUGCCCUUAGACUGGGCUAACCCUGCUAAAUGGAGGUAAACAGUUGCAACCGCGAAAUAACUAAUCCUUAAGCCUUUCCAUUCGAAUGGAGCUGCACUGCCCAAUGAAUCGGAACCCUAAAUCCGGAACCAUGCCGGGGAAACUUCCCGCCUGUUCCACCCCCGCCAAAGAAA